AAUGUCUUUAAUACUAUUUAUGUCGGACCUUUAUUAUUUUGUUGAUAUUAUUCCCAAUUAAUAUUCAGCCGUUGAUUUUUCCGAACGACACGCUCAGGUUACAUUAUAAGAAAUAGUUUGAUGGAUUGAUAAGAAAACAUUGCUUUUCGUCGACUUCCGAUAUACUACCCUCAGGAAUAUUUUUCUUUCGCUUUGUGUAGGAAGUUGUGACGUCUAGUUCCACAAAUUAAUUAGGUUUUUUUUAUUCUCUUUUGCUUAUUUCAGUGUGUUUAUUUUACUAUUACAAGGUCUUAAAUCACUUUUGUAAGGACAAACAGAACAAAAUUACUUCUGGUGUUUGUUCUAUUAUUCUAUUUUGUCAUAAAAUCACAAAUAAAUAUCACAAAUUUAUAAAUAUAGUUUACCUUAUUAGUUUCAUUGUCAAGUUAUUUUAUAUUGCCAAUUUCGAUGAUAAUUUAAUAUAAAACAAAGUAAACAAUUUGCUUAUAUCAAUAUUGAUUUUACAUAACAAAAAUAUUUAUAUUUUUACAGCUAAUAAGAGUCGCCUCAUUUGAUUGUCCAAUAAUAUCGUAUGACACUAAAAAAUAAAUUAAACAAGCCAUUUCGCUCUGUUUUGUUGUUGAAGAUCACAAAGAAAUUAGAAAAUUUGCAAACAAAAAUAAGGUUCUUUAAAUAUAUUUUUUAUUAUUUUUUAAUUACCGGCACUAUGACCAAUAAUUGCUAUUGUCAAUCAGAACAAGCAACAAAAAAGUGCAAAAUAUAUGUUUAUUCUAAUUUAAUUAUUUAAUAAUGAUUUUAAUAUUUGAUAUGAAUUAAACCACGGUCAAUAAUUGUCAGUGUCAAAGAGAAUUUCGAACGAGCGACAACAAAACAGUAUAAAGUUAAAAUCCGAACGAUUACAUGAGCUGUUCAGUUUCCACGAUCAUACGGUAUUAUAAUGUGCUCCCAAAAUAUAUAAGUAACUAUAACAUAACGGUGAUAGGUAUUUUUCCAUCGAUAUAUUAUGGCAAAUAUUGACAAAAUACUGAUAAACGCCAAACUUAUCAAACGUGUUUAUAAAGUGCUAGAAAAGAAAAUUUUUUCUAUGGACAUUUUUCCUAUUCAAUUCCUAGUUGCUUGAAAUAUGCCUAAGCUUUACGUAUUUCAUUAGAAAUAAAUAUUAAAAAAAUUGACUACCUACAAUGUACCACCGUCUACCAGAAAGGUAGAAAAUAAAACAAAAACGUAGUCGAAGUAGCCAAACACAUUAACUGCAUGAAAAUUGUGCCAGGUAUCUGCUCAAAUGUUGGGUCAAAAUUGAAUUAUCCCUUCAACAAAGAAAAUGAGAAGACAACUUCUUAUGCAGGGAUACGAUCAUGUUAUGACUUACGCCCAAUUUAAACACAGUGGACUAAUUGGCAGGUGUGUUAUUAGGGACGGAAAUAAUUAUAGCAGUUUCAUUACAAAUUUAUUGUAUUAAGUCAGACAAUUAGUGAUGGGCAUGUUUUCAAUUAAUGAUACUUAUAUAUGUCAGUGUACCAAGAUUAAAUAUAGCAAUAUUCACUUACACAUUUAAAUCUAUAUAACUUGUA
Long non-coding RNA from Sitophilus oryzae (rice weevil), 1571 nucleotides. RefSeq lists it as uncharacterized. NCBI's taxonomy places the organism in Eukaryota, Metazoa, Arthropoda, Insecta, Coleoptera, Curculionidae. The transcript has 3 exons. The record is from RefSeq and is a predicted model, not a curated record.